Molecule: microRNA, 22 nt
Filed under: Canis lupus familiaris (dog)
Lineage: Eukaryota; Metazoa; Chordata; Mammalia; Carnivora; Canidae
Description: cfa-miR-1835
Source: miRBase by way of RNAcentral
UGCACCCUGAGAGCUGGAGCAG